RNAcentral lists this ribosomal RNA (322 nucleotides) under uncultured eukaryote. Its description in RNAcentral is "partial 18S ribosomal RNA". It matches the Rfam family "Eukaryotic small subunit ribosomal RNA", at positions 1470 to 1796 of the family's 1831-position model. The record is from RNAcentral.
CCCUUAGAUGUUCUGGGCCGCACGCGUGCUACACUGAGUGGAUCAGCGGGUCAGGUUGCGCGAAAGCGUUUCCUAAUCUUUAAAUCCGCUCGUGAUGGGGAUUGACGGUUGCAAUUUUCUGUCGUGAACGAGGAAUACCUUGUAAGCGCGGGUCAUCAUCCCGCGCUGAAUACGUCCCUGCCCUUUGUACACACCGCCCGUCGCUCCUACCGAUUGAGUGGUCCGGUGAGGCUUUGGGAUCUGAGCGGAAAGAGCGUUUCGCUGUUUCUGCUCGGAGAACUCAGUCGAACCUUAUCAUUUAGAGGAAGGAGAAGUCGUAACA